Molecule: long non-coding RNA, 14302 nt
Filed under: Physcomitrium patens
Lineage: Eukaryota; Viridiplantae; Streptophyta; Bryopsida; Funariales; Funariaceae
Description: long non-coding RNA (PPAT_LNC009430)
Source: RNAcentral
AAAAAAAAAAAAAAAAAAAAAAAAAAACUCGUGUUUUAUAUUAUUUUGUAAAAAGGUCUACUUCCUCACAAUCCAAAAAUAAAACGAAACAAGUAAUGAAUUAGACCUCAAUUUAUUCCAUUCAAUUCUUCUACACUAGACAUUAUUCUUGGCAACAAUCUUUUAAACCGGUUUUAUUUUUGUAAGAUGUGGAGGAAAGUCUCAGAUCCAUUUCACCGAUUUCUUGUUUUAGUGUUUAUAAUCUCCCUGAAAUUCAAUACCAUAUGCUUUGACAACGCUGUUUGUCUAGAUAUUAUAAUUUAGUUUAUCAUCCUUCUUUUCGACAGCUAUUAAUAUAUUGCAUAUCCAUCAUUGUGUAUGUAUGUAUGCAUGCAUAUAUAUAUAUAUAUAUAUAUAUAUAUACAUAAUUGUAAAAUAGACUUUCCAUUUUGUAAAAAUACAAGACCAUUUAAUGAAGCUGAAAAUUCAAUGUUUUAGAAUGUAGAGUUGCAAAUCACUCUAUUACUUUAUUUCUACCCAUGUAUGCAAAGAUUUACUCUAUGGAAAAACAUUUAUUCAUUCAUGUCACACCAAUUUAUUUGGUUACGCAGGAUACAAUUGUUAAACUAAUUUGUAGAAUGUACGAAUUCAAGCAAUGAAUUUUAAUUUUUCUCAAAUAAAUCAAAUCAAAUCAAAUCAAAGAUCUAAAGCACAUGUUUUACAAACUUGUUUUAUGAAAAAAAUUCAUAAUUUUUUUUAAUAAAAAAUAAAAAACUUGUUAAAUCAAUUCUUGCAUAUAUAUAUAUAUAUAUAUAUAUAACUUAUUCAAUAUUCAAAUUUACAGUUUUAUUAAGAUCUCAAACAAACAUUACAUGUAAACAAAAUUGACUAUGUAAGCAUCUGUGUGUAUAUAUAUAUAUAUAUAUAUAUAUACACACACACACACACACACAUAUGGUUUAAAAUAUAUAUAUACUUAUAUCUACUACUCAUCAAUGAUACGUUUUAGUUUAUAAAAAUGUACCCAAUAUUAUUAUCUAUAUAUAUAUAUAUAUAUAGGCACACACACAUUAUGUAGGAAAUGUAUUCCCCACUUUUUAUGACAUGUGUGUUCGAAUAUAUUCAUGUGAUCAAACUUAAAAUUCUUUGGAUGUUUCCAAAUAAGGACAUUUUAUUCUUUUCAAAUCAUUCUUUCUCAGGAAUUUUAAGUAAUCCACUUGUGUAUGGAAGAAUGUUUUGUGCUUGAUUAUACCUGCUUGAAUGAGCAACCAAUCAGAGCCAAUUCAAUACGCUCUCUAUUUUCAUGAAACAUAAACCUUUCAAUGUUGUGGGUUCAUAAAUUUUCCUUUGAAGAAACCUUUUACUUUUUUUUCUAUCUGCAAUACUUUCGAUUGUGUAUGUACGUACGUACGUGAAUAUAUAAUUACGGUUCCCGUCACUAAUAGUGGAUGAAUGAACCUGAAUACAUUCGUCAAUUUCAUGAGACUCACCUAUUGCCGUGCACUCAUGAAUACGUAUACAGACAGCAGCAGAUGAUUGGCUGAGUCCCCGGGAAAGCUGACAUGGCUCCAACUUUCUUUUGAUUUGGGAAUGGAGCCAUGUGCCCGCCCUUGCUUUUCCUUUUUUCCUUUUCCUUUUUCUUUAAAGUGGAAACUCUAAUUCCCAGGUCCUUCAUGCAUGCCUGUAAGUCAGCAUACUAGAAGCUCAUCUCGUGCAUUCUAGCAUUUGUUAUCUCAAACAGUUGUCUUAAAUGUUUGGAAUAAAGGCAUUAAACGAGAACAAGAAAAUGAAGGAAAUCUACAAAACUAAUUACUUAGAAAUUAAAAUUUAAAUUUGUAACUUUCCUCUUCCACCUACUCAAUUUUUCUUACAAAAAACCUAAUUAAAUAUCAGGUAUUUCCAGUAGCAGUUACCAAUUAUAUAUAUAUAUAGAUAUAUAUUUAUUUAUUUGUUUAUGGGAGAAUAUGACAAGACACAACUUUUUGAAUUCCUUUUGAUUGGUUGUAAUGUAUAAAUUUCUCAGUUUUAGCCAAUCAAAGGAUUUGGAAGUUGUAACCUUCUCCCUCAAAUACAAAGACUUCUUUAAAACACUAUUGUUUACUCAAUUUCAAGCCAAAAAUUGGAUCUCCUUGGAUAAUAGUUGACAAUCUUGAAUGGUGUGCCCUACAGGUUUCAUAAUCCCCUUCACAAAUAAUGCCACAUGUAUAGAUUUGAAUCGAAAUAAUUUGAAGAAAGAACCCUCUUUCAAUAGCAAUUGUGAAAAAAAAAAGAGAAGGAUGAACAAUAAAAAAAAUAAAAAAAAAUAAAAAAAUGAAAAAUAUCAGAAACAAACACUGGGAACAAUAAGAAAUGAGAAGGAAUGUCUACUAAGGAGAAUAAGAAUCGUUGCAUGGACCUCAGAAAUGGUGAGAUUCCACCUAGAACUGGCUUCCAUCACCAACUGGGCCUUGAACAUGAUUGUGGACUAUGAUAAGGAACCCAUCAUUUGAUACUCUCAUGUGAGGCAUCAUCUGGCUUCUUUAUAUUGAUUUUUUGUCUCUUUCUCAAGCAAAGUCCACAGUUUUCCCUGUAAACUAUUAUAUGUGCUUUGACAAGAGAAUGGAGGAUGCCCUCAUUCUGAAUGCGGAACUGUGGAGGAGCACUUUGCUGGAGCUGGGGCAGAGAUGAUGGCAGGGGUCCCUUCAAGCCUGCCCGCUGCCCGUAAAUUUACUCGCUUGGGGCAGAGUGGGCAGUUGUUUCACCAAACCCACUUUGGACUGGCAGCCUUAGUCCCCCAAUCAUUGUACUGGCCAUGGUGGCUCCAAACCCACCAUGGCCAAAAUCUGAAAAAACUGACCCAAAAACACUGAAGAAGAAAAAUAUAUUACCCUAAAUAUAAAAAAAAAUAAAAACAAACAAACCUAGGGCUCAAGAGUCUAGGGGAAAAAAGAAGGGGUUAGAAGGAGUGGGCAGACAGAGUUGUACUACCUGACAUCCUGCCCGUGGGCAGAAGAAAAAAACAAAUGAUCCUCGGGCAGGUGUUGACAAUUUUCAGCAGCUCAUUGGAGGGGGAGGGGGUGCUGUGGAGCUUGUCCCUCCGAAGCUCGGCUUAUUUUCCUCUGCCCCAGACUUUGCCCCCUGCCCGGGAGAGAAACUCACCCGUCCCCUUCCUUACCCUGCCCGUCCAAAACCCGGGCUGAACCAGCACCCGAAGCCACCUCCCCAAUCACGAGAAGCCAGCUGUCGCAGCCGACAGUAGCUCGAUUCCAACUUAUCCUCUGGGUGCUGACCAAGCAAAAAACUUAGCCCCGAAAACCCUAAAGGAAUCAAGUAAAAAAAAAAAGUAAAAAUAAUAAAGACACUGGAUGAAAACGUAAAAGGGGAGAGGUAAUUCCCCCAGUACCAUAGGCCUGUGUCCGACCGUAAUCAGCUCAGAAUCAUCAAUCUUUUUAGAAGUAAGAACCCAAGUAAGAAAAUAACCCAUACGGUUUGUAUCGGGAACCAAACGUUCUGUCGCGUUCCCACAGUAUCUGCUCUCAAGACCUUUGAAGACUUCCUUGUUCCCUUUGAGUUCCCCAAACCAAUGUGAGCCCUAGUCAUGGGGGUGUGUUGUUGCCUUGGAAUGGAAGCCUAUUUUCCCCCUCCUGGGAUCUUUGGGAGACGGUGGGAGUGUUCAUCUUGCUUCUCAACGAAGGUUUGUGUCAUUUUUUAUUAAUUAAUAAUAUUCGUUUGAAAGUUAGAGAUUAGAAAAAUAAAAUAAUCGGAAUUAUUGAAUGAUAGCAUAGAAAAUUAUGCACAAUUUCUUUAAGAAACUUCAAACAACCAUAUCUUGUCGGGGUACCUGCUCAAAUUGAGCAAAUAAGCAUCCUAUCUGUAAAAGAUUAUGGAGUACUUAAUAUAGUGCUUUGAAAUUCCAACAUUCUGGUCAUGUUUUUUUUUGUUUUGUUUGUUUGUUUGUUUUUUUUUUCUUUUUUUAGUUUUGUUUCAUCAGUAUAUUAUAAAUAAUAAUAAAAGUGAAAUAUCUUGUUUUAAGUUUUUUUGUUAAAUAAUUAUAAUGGGUUGAUUUAUGUGCAUGAGUGAUUAUGAAUAUAAUUUGUGCCAGAAGCAAAAAAUCAAUACAUAAAUAACCAUAUAAAUACAUAAAAGGAGUUUGCAAUAUUUAUUUUGCUGCCAUUGUUAUUUUUUUGGUUAGUAAUUGAGAUUCAGUACUGAGGUAUCCUCUCAAUACUUCAGAUUACAAAUUCCACAGUAGACACAUUAAAUUAGAAUCAGGUAAAAAUAAUUGAUGGUUUCAGUUGGUCAGCUUUUUAAUUUAAAAUCUAAGAUUAAUUAAAUAUCUAAGUAAAAAUUCGAAUCCAUACUGAUAAAUUCUGUAGAAUAUGGUUUCAAUACAUCAGGUAUAUAUAUAUAUAUAUAUAUAUAUAUAUUUGGUGAGGAUUCAUAAAAUUCAUGAAAAUUCUUUUUGUAUAUGUUAAAUUAGCAGAAAAAUAGAUUUGAGAUUGAAUUAAUUAGUUAUAACUGUUUGAAUAAAAUAAUUUAAAGGUUUGAAUCUCAAUUUUUUGCCAACAUGAUAUUCAUCUAAUUACUCAGAAAGAGUUCAUACAAAUUGCACUAAAAAAUACAUGAGUAUUCUAUUUUUCAUUCUGAACAUAACACAAUACAGUAUAUUUGAAACAUGUGAAUUUGGAAUUUAGAAGAAAGCAUAAAAGAAGGAGCGGUCUUGAAGUUUUGUAAUAGAACUAGUAAUUUAAAAAAUAAAUAAAUAGAAAAGUUAUUUUGAAGGUUAUAUUGUGGAAUCUAGUGCUGAACUGCUAGGAAUGUUUCUUUCAUUUUAUUUUUUGGCAAAAAUAAAGGGGUGUCUCUAAAACUAAGUACAUUUUUCAUUUUAUUCCUAAUUGUAGAUUUAUUCUUGACCAAGCUUUUGCAAGUCUUGUAAGAGUGGAGUUGAAUCUUAUGUGUUGUAUUUGCUAAGACAGUACCUAAACAUAAUUAAGAAUGAUCUUGCACGUGAAGGGAGGAAAUUAGUGACAUCAUCUAGAGUUGUUAAUGUUCUUAUCCACACUUAUCGCAUAUCUAUUUAAUUGCUUUACAGUACAUGAGAGAAAUAUGCUUAAUAAUAGUAAUAAAUGUUUGCAAAGUAACUAAAUUUAAAUCUUCAUGUUCAAUUUUAUUUUUUAUAGCUUUAUUUUAUAUUCUUGUGCGUAAAAACACAACUUUUGUGGUGCUUUGCUUAUACAUUAAUUAAACUGAUUACAUAUUCUUUUAUAAGUUAAAUAAUACAAGGUUAUUGUUUCAUUUUUAAAAUCUUUAAAAUUGUUGAAAGUAGUUUAAAGUUUCAGGAAGUAUUUUUUUCUUAUUUUUUAAAAAAUAAUAAAUAAAAUAGGACUCCCGUAUUAUACUGUAAAGGGCUAUUUCAAUUAUAUACCACAAUUCAAAAUCACAAUAUAUUUUCUUAGAUUUAUUUUAUAUAACAAUAUAAAAUAAAAUAUCUCAUGAACAAAUUUAGUAUACCUUACUAAGACAAAUUAUUUUAAAACUUAUAAUUAUUUCUGUUCUUCUUGACAUAAAUAAUAUUUAUAUUGCUUAUUUAAUAUCUCUUGAUCUCAAAACUUAUAUAUAUAUAUAUAUAUAUAUAUAUAUAUAUAUAUUAAUCAAGUUAAAUGGAAAUGAAAAUUAAGUAAGAACUAUGAUUGUAAAUUGAAUCUCUAAAUUUUUUUAUUUCUAAUUUUUUAUUUUUUAUUUUUAUUUUCUAUAAAAUAAUUAUACAAAACUUUCUAUUAACCACCCAUAAACCAUAUCAUAACAUUUGAUAUAUUUGUAUGCACCAUCUCUUGUUAAUUGCACCAUCACCAAGUUUAUACCAAAAAAAAAAAAAAAAAAAAAAAAACCCACAAAUAUUCAACACUUUCAAUCCCUUCUCAAUUUUGCACUUUGAAGAAAAGAAAAGAAAAAGAAAAAACCACAUGAAUCAAAACACAAAUAUCCUAAGGCUACCAAUGAAAGACACUACCAUAGAAGGUGAGCCCUAGAAGAAAAACAAAUCCUCAAAUCACACCGCCCAUAACAACAAGCACUCUAAAUUUAGGACAGUGGUAACGAAGCUGCAAGGACCCUGCGGGCGUGUCGUUACGUGGCCGCAUCAGGCCGCGGCAGCGGCGAUGAUAGCGGCAGGGGGCAACGGCAGUGGUGGAGACGACGUGUCCGGCGACGCAGUCCUGGGUUCUGGUGGAAACGGAAGAAUCCACCCGUGAGGACAAAAGGGCGAAGUGGGGAAUGGGAGGAUGGAGAAGGGGAAAAUUCUGGACUCACUGCAGCAGACAUCGUCGUCAUCGUCAAUCGUGCAUUAAUCGCGGUUUUACCAGACGGAAUGGCGAGAUAAUUUUGCGGGGGGAGCGCAGGAACGGAGGGAGGGUGUGUGAGUGUGUUAGAGAGAGAGAGAGAGAGAGAGAGAUAUACGGUGCUGCUUGCAUCGAUCCGGACAAGCGGCUGAAGUGCUGCUGCAGUUGAGCCCCAUGACGGCCUAGAAUUGCGCAAGGGCAACGGAGACCUGGUCGUUGUGGGCUAGCCAACUUGUUGGAGCUUGUGGGUGACUGGAGAGGGCGGGUCUGAGGGGGAGUAGACGGAGCCGGGGGUGUGGGGCCAUGAGAGUGGCUGUGUCUACUGGAUUGAUAGGAGGCAGUGGAGAUCUUGCCAUGGGUCAUCGCUACCCCGACCUCCUCGGCCAGUGCCUUAUCACACUCUGAAAGAGAAAGGAAAGGGUCAAGUGUCGAGGUUCCCCAGCUGAUGGUUGCUGGCUCUUUUAUUAUUAUUAUUUUGUUUUGUUUUGUUUGUUUGUUUUAUUUUUUUUGUCUUCUCCCUUCAGAAAUUACAAGACCUGCUGCUUUACUUGCCAGUCUCGGGUCUCGUUGCAUCUUAAUUGCUGUUCCUUCUUCGGCUUGGAUGCAUUUCAAUCAUCCACUCAGCUGGUGGAUCAAGCGAUCGAGUGCAGCAACUGUGUGAGAGAGGGCUGCGAUCUAUGCUUUCGUUAACAGUGAUAGUUUAGCUUCUGGGUCGUGGUUUGUGCGGUGUAGAGUGUGUUUAUUUUUGUCUAGGCAGCGAGAGGUGUUCUCUGAGGUUUUAUCGCACUUGUGUUGCGAGGACUGAUUGAUGAUCUGGUAACGUUGGAGAAGUCGCCGGAGUCGUAGUUAAGCUACGGAGCCUGUCAAUCUGUCAAGAUGCCCGAGGUACUAAACUAGUUUUCCCUAUCUAGACUCGCCAUUUGCUGGUCUUGAUUGAUUGAUGUCGAGACCUGUGACUCAAUUGCUCCGCAUUGGUUUCUCACACUAUUGUCCUUGAAUACUCAGCACAUCCUCUGCACUUGUGUGAGCAUGUCGGUGGCAUGAUCGGUGAGCAUUCAUGCGUGAAUUUGUUUUUGUGGAGGAGUUGUGAGAGCUUAAAGACCUUGAAGCUUGUUUUCUGUGGCGUCCCAUGAUCGCGUUACAUCACAAUGUUACAUUUUAACGCGAAAGUGAUCUAACUUUGCUCAUCGACUAUGAUUGCUAGUUCCACAAUUUGAAAGAUUUACGUAGUGCUCUCACUUUUCGACUUUUCUGUAUCUUCAAUCCCCAGAAGCGUUUUGUAUUGUCUGUGCGUGAGGGUGAUCCUUGAGUUGAAGUUCAAUGCCAUUGAUUAAUUUCGAGGGGAUAAACAGUGAUCUUGCAAUCUCCGUCUGCCUAUCUCGAAAUUCUCGUAGCGGCGGACGAUUGCCUCAAAAAAUCGUGCAAGAGCUAACGAAGUUUGCAAUCACACACUUCCUUUCUUUCGUCACUCUACCUUGGUUUGUGGCUUUUGGCGACCGCUUACGCAUCUCACUAUUUUCUCCUCCAAAUUGAAGAUUCAUUGGUAGCUCGUGGUUGCAUCCUGUUUCAUUGCUACAGAUCGGCGGUGCUGCAACUUUUAUGUUAUUUUUAUUUUCUAUUGAUUUAAGUUUUGGUUUUUCUCUUUGUUGGUUUUCUUUUUAUCCUCCUCAGUCAAUUCGCUCGAAAUUACCUUGAUUCCUCUCAAACAGAGUUUUUAGUGUCCAGUUGACGAGGCAGAUUUUGGAAGCAUCCACAAUCUGCAAGUAACGUCUACGUGAGCAAUUGUGGGAAUAAUUCUUUCAACCCAAUUAUGAAUGCUGACCUGUCACCAUGGGUGCAAAUGUUGAUUGAUGAUGCAGACAGUGGAAAUCAGGACGGUGGUGCUUCGGGUGAUGCUGCACUGCGAAGGUUGUGCUCACACCGUAAAGCGAGCUUGCGCCAAGAUUCCUGGUAAGAACUCCCCACCUCGGUCCUUACCAUUCAGAUCAUGGGUACAUGUAAUGCUAAGUGCUUUGCUGAAGUUGGAUUUCAAAGUGUCGUGGGAGUCUAACCGCAAACAUGCUAUUUGGCUUUUGCAACAGGUGUUACAGCCUACAAAGUGGACUUUCCAGGGCAGCUGGUAACUGUGACUGGAAAUGUAACCCCAGAGGAAGUGUACAGACGCAUCAAGAAGACUGGAAAGCAGACCGAGCUCGUGCCUCCUCCACCUCCUGCUAAGAAAGAGGAGCCCAAGAAGGCGGAACCCAAAAAGGAGGAAAAAAAAAAGGAGGAGAAGAAGGAAGAAAAGAAAGAAGAAAAAAAAGAGGAGAAGAAAGAGGAGAAGAAAGAGGAGAAGAAAGAGGUAUAGCAACUGCACCUGCACCUGAACUGAAACUAUACAUCACUCCUGAAAACCUUCUCACCUGUUCAGAAAUCAGUAGGAUUACAAGCUGCUACUCAAUUGAUUGCAAUCUGUUUUUCAGAGUUUGUUUAUCAUAUGAAGUUCACUCAUUGUUGAGUUCUGCUCAAGUACUGAACAACUAUGAAUGACCCAGGAAAAGCCAGCAGAUGAUAAGGCUAAAGCAGGAGGUGGUAAGAAGAAGAAGAAAGGUGGAGGUGGUGGAAAUGGUGGAGGAGGAGGAGGAGGAGAUAAGAAGGCUGAUGCUCCAAAAGCAGAAGAAAAGAAGGAGGAAAAGAAAGAGGAGAAGAAAGAGGAGAAGAAAGAAGAAAAGGAGGAAAAGAAGGAAGAUAAGGAGAAGGAGAAGCCCAAAGAUCCACCCAAACCUAAGGAAGAGAAGAAACCACCACCCACACCCGAAGAACUCUAUCCCGUCACCUUUGUGCUUGGCCAAGAUUACACUAGAUAUUACUACUAUUGACAUAACAAUCAAGCAAAUUAAUCUUAGAUCAACUUGUACAAUUACUUUGGUUGCCAUAUUUUCUAGAAGCUAGAUGUAAAGGAUUGUGUCCAAUUACUAUUACAAACUUGAACAUGGCAACCAAUGAUGCUAAUAUCUAGCAGGAAAGUUUUGAAUCAAUCUAAGAUGAUUUUUGUCUUUAAAUAUCAUUGGGAAAAAUAAAAUAAAAUAAAAAAAUCACACAUAAAUACAAGAAGUAGACACUAGAUGCUAAUGGUUGAUGUUACAUAUUUUGAAUUAUGAGACAUUUUUUAUAGUUUCUUUACAAACAAUAAUUGGUAUAAGUCUUAAUGAUAAGUUUUGGUUGUAGCAAAUAGCCUUAAGCUUAAAGAAAACCUUUACAAGUAUAAACUUUUUAAAAAUAAUUUAUCUUCUUGUGUCUAGGAUAUCUAUAGUUUUUGAUAUCCAACUUAAUAUGCUUAUACAAAUUUUUAUAUUCAAUUUUUGUAUAAGCAUAUUAAGUUUAUAUAUAAAUUUAUGCAUAUGAAAGUUUAUAUAUAAAUUUUUGACAUCCAACUUAAUAUGGUUAUAAAAAGUUGUGCAUACUUGCAUAGUCUUAUGAAAGUUUAUAUAUAAAUUUAUGUAUAUUAAAGCCAAAGCCAAUAUACAUCAUGGAUAUUUGAUAUAUUCAUGGAAAAUAACAAAAAUACUUGUUGUAAAUAUAUAAUAUAUUUAUAAAAAAUAUAUUAACUACAAAUUGGUUAAAAAAUACAAAUAACUAUUUUAAAAAUUAAAAUUUGAUUCGAUACAAUGUUGGAUAAAUUUUUUAUAUAAAAUUAUUGUUUUUAAAAAAAUAUAUAUAUAUAUAUAUAUAUAUAUAUAAAUAAAUAGAAAUAAAAAUUUAAAAAUAUAAAAUUUUAUACUAUAUUAUAAAAUACAUGAUAUGAAUAAAUUUUAUAUAUAUAAAUAUGGUAUAAGACAUUAUUAAGAAUAAGAUUUGGCACUUUUUCUCCACAAAAAUACAUCCUUUACAUCUCCAAAUUAAUUGUAACAAAAAUAAUUACUAAGGCCUUCUAUGAAACAAAUUCUUUUAUAUUAUUGCAAUUACAAAAAUCCUUAUUUAAAGCAUAGUGUAAUUGCAAAUGAUAAUGAAACAAAGACCAUUCACAAUAAGAACAUAUAUUUUAUAACCUAUAAAAUCUUAGAAGUAAAUUUUUAAUUAAAAUAAAUUAAUAAUAAUAAAUAUACUAUAAGAAUGAUUAUUUUUACUUCACAAUUUAUACUAUAAUCUACUUCACAUACUAUAAUCUAUUUCAUUUCACAAUUUAGCAAAUAAUUUAUUAAGACUUAGCGACACCUAAUCAAAAAUUCCAAAACCAUCAACAUAUUGAAUGCUUCAUUGGAGUAAGAGUGAAUAAUAUAUACUAUUCCUUGCAUAAUAUAGUUACAUUUUUUAUUAGUAUUUUUUUUAGUAACAUUAAUUUAUAUAACUAAUAAAAUAUUCUAAAAUCUUAGUAGAGAUUAAAUUUAUGACUUUAAGAUUGUGACUAAUGAUAGUAAAAUUAGGUUGACAAGUUAAGCAAUUAAUAUUGCUAAUACUAGUCAUAUUAACUUUAUUUUAUACAUAGUAUAUUUAUUAUGCUAAGUUUCUUUUUAUCAUAUCAAUCAAAUCAUCUAUUAAUCCAUCAUUUCUAGGUAGCACUAGAAAUUUUAAGAUUAACCUAGUAGCUUUGAAAAAUAAAAUUUAUAGUAAAUAAAAAUAACUUGCAGUACACAUCUUUUAAAGAAAAUUCCAAAUGUAACAACAAAACCAAUUUGAAUAACUAAGACUACUUCAACAUUAUGAAUUUUGUACUCAUGUAAAAUUUCAAAACUCUAUUUCUUAUCCACAUGUGUUAAUUAAAAUGUAAUAUAUAUAUAUAUAUAUAUAUAUAUAUAUAUAUAUAUAUUUAUACACAUUUAAAAUAAAAAUAAAAAUGUAAAAGUAAAUACAACCACUAAUAGUUAUACAUGUUUAAACCUUUUAAUAAAUCAAAAAUUAUUUAAGAAAUCAAAUAUAAACAAAUCUUUUUCACAGUUAAGCAAACAAAUUGAAAGAGAUUUCUUAUUAAAAUAUAUGAGAAUAACUUCUAAUUUUCUAAUUAGAAUCUAUGUAUGAUCAUUUUUAUUUUAUUAGAAAGAAUGGAUGGUUGCAUUUUAAAAAAGUUAGUUCUAUAUAUGUCCUAUAAAUUCUAUUAAGAUUCAUUGAUUCCACCAUUAAGAACAAAAGUAAAAUAUUGUCUAAAGAGAAUUAAAUUCAAAGCAUAUUGAAAGGUUCUUAUGCAAUUCUAGUAGUAAAAAUCUCACUUAAAUUUUAGAAUAUAAAAAAACCAAUCUAUGUAAUUAAAAUAUCUAUAAAACUAGAAUGUCAUCCAAACAUAGUAUACAUCAAACAUAUUCAGAUUUUUCUAACUACCAUUAACAAAAACAUCUAAAAUAUUUACUAAUUACAUUUAUUACUACACUAACAAAUGAUUGUUAAUAUAAUUUUUAUUACUGAAUUCUACUAUUAGAUAUUAUACAAUCUUCUUAAAAAUGUGCUUGUAUUUUAGACAUGGAACAUAUGAGAUUGUAAUUAUCUUCUAAUAUAGGCAAUACAAUUAGACAAUGUAUCUUAGAAGUAUCAAGAACCAUCAAUGUAAUAUAGAAAGAUUUAGCAACAAUAACUUGCAUGUUAACAUAUAAAUCUUUUUUUAGAAAUAAUUCUUAUUAGUCAUUUGAAUACAUAAACAUAUGUCAAUCACUAAUGCUUUAAAUGAAACAUAUAUAUCUUUAAAAGCACUUAGCUAAUAAGAUUCAAGCACAAUUAUUUUUAUGACACAAUUGUUUAGAACUAAAAACUAAAACUCAAUAAAUUUAUAAAGGUGUAAGAAUUAAGAGUUUUAUGUAAAAGUGUAUUGCUUCCAAAAAAGAUCUUUAAAAGAACCUUCAAUAAUAGCAAGAAGAGUCAAAAGCCAAACUAUGGCAUUAUUAUAAUAGAUAAUACCAAAGAUGUAAGUUAGAGGUAUAAACUCAUAGGCAAUAGUUUUGGAUUGUGUCUCUAUUUGAAAAAUUAAUAAUGUUGAAUUUCUUAAAUUAUAAAAUUUAGUAAUAUUUUCUAAAUUUUAAUCUUUUAAAAUUUAGGAAUUUAAAACUCAAAUUUGAACCCUAAAUUCUAUACUUUGUCUAACUUUGAGUUUUAAACUUAAAUUAAAAUGAAUUAUAGUUAAAUUUUGUAAACUCAAAUAUGUCUCGAGUUCCAAUUAAACCUUGUGAGAUAAAAUUUACAAGAAUAUAUUAAAAGUCUUCUAAUUUCUUAUUUUGUUGAAAAAAAUUCUAUACAAAUAAUAUUUAUUUAUUUAUUUAUUUAUUUAUUUAUAAUAAGAUUUUAUAAAUCUAACAUGCAAAAUAAAACUUCCAAAGUGUUAUUAGAAAAGAAUUAGAAACUUUAUUAGUUCCAAUAACUAAGUAUAAAGCUCAAACAUUUUAGCUUUAAAAUAUCUAAAGUGAUACUUUGCAAAAAAAUAAUAUCUCAAACUUAAUAUUAUGUUUAUACUAAAACAUCACAAACUGAUGUCUACUUCUUUGUUAGUAGGAAUUACAUUAUCAAGACAAUGCAUUUAUAUAAUUCAAAAGUAUAGUAGAGAAACCUAGCUUAAAAAAACUAUUUGUACAAUAUAACCUCAAUAAUUAUUGUUUUGAUUGUAAGAGUCUUAUCAAACAAUCUAUAACAAAAUAUUAUAAAAUCCAAUAAUCUUGUUGAAAAUAUCUAAUUUACAAAAUAAAUUGCAAAUAAGAGGAUGUGAUAAUUAGAAAAAAAAAAAAAAAAACAAAACAAAACAAAACCACUGGUACAACCAAAAUUUGUUACAAUAAUUCUAUACAACUAGAUAUUUAAAUUAGCCUAAAUAUUAUUGAGUUGCCGCUGAGUAAUCUACUUACAAAUUUGUUUUAACAACUUUUAAUGUCAAUUUUUUUUUUAAAUAUCACAUUCCCAUAAUGCUCCAAACGAAUUAAUUACUAUGAUUUUGGUUUGUAAUUUUUUACCAUUUCUAAAUCAUAAGAAGAAAUUAUCACACAUGUGGCUUUAUUCUUCUAACUCUUACCUAUUUCAAAUUCAAUCCCUUUAAUCUUUUUAGUAAUCCCCAUCUUACUAAAAACAUAUCUAUCUAUUUCUUUUGAAACUUACAAUGUAGCAUGUUGUUUUUAUUUGCAAAAUUAGUUUGUUACAAAUUUCAAAAUAACACAAUUCAAUAUCUCUUGCCCAUCAAAUUUCUACCAAAACAACCAAAUAACACUAUUCAGUACCUCUUGUCCAACAAAUUUCCACCAAAAUAACCAAUAACACUAUUCAAUAACUCUUGCUUAACAAAUUUCUACCAAAAUGACCAAAUUUAAUGUUGUUUUUAUUUGCAAAAUUAAUUAGCUACAAAUUUCAAAAUAACACUAUUCAAUAUCUCUUGUCCAACACAUUUUUACCAAAAUAGCCAAAUUUAAAAUGGAUUGGGAUGAUUUUUUUCAUCUCUUUUAGAUUACUCAAAUCUAUCUUUCUACAAGCUUCUGAUUGCCGAAAUUUACCACAAUUGCCAAACCUUUAUUUACUUACUUAUUUAUUUAUACAUAUACAUGGAAAAGAAACUCAAUAAAUCCAAGAAAGGAAGAAAACCUGAACAAGCCGAAGUUCUUUAAUCAGGAUUGCGAUGCGAUGGGAUGACAGAGGCGAAGGAGCGAGCAAAGUGAUUCCAAUGUCCUGAAAUCACAGCAUUAGGGUUUGGAGCUCUCUGGGUUUGUCUGCCAGUCCUUUGACCGCUCUCUUGUGACCAAGGAACGUGGUUUUCAAUACUUGAUUAGAUAGGUUUUCACCACCGUUGGUCUUUCGCUCCAUUGGAGCAUACCUGGACUUGAAAACUAAAAAAAAAGAAAUUGGGACCCCACAUUCUUCUGUCCAUGUUCAUUUUAAGACAUUCAUUCCAACAAUUGGGUCAGAUUCGACUAAACUCGAAAUAACACAAAUAAGAAUUACGGCAACAGCGAAUUUCAAAGACCCAUUAAUUUUUAAGAACUACUAAAGGAACAAGUUAAAAGAAUAAUAAUAAUAAUAAUAAUAUAAAGUUCACUCUUCUGAAACCCUUGACUGCCAUGCUAUGCCUC